Long non-coding RNA from Pogoniulus pusillus (Red-fronted tinkerbird), 3283 nucleotides. RefSeq lists it as uncharacterized. The transcript has 2 exons. The record is from RefSeq and is a predicted model, not a curated record. Lineage: Eukaryota; Metazoa; Chordata; Aves; Piciformes; Lybiidae.
AAAGCUCACACAGAUCAGUGUGAUCAGAGUGAUGCCACAUGAACUCCACAUGAUUCAAUGUGAAUUAUAUCAGAGGCCUUUAUUGAUCAUUCUGGCUCUCAUAUAGUCUUAAGCAUAGAGCACACACCUACACAUUCACAUAAUUAGACAAGAACAACCCAGUCUUUUACAUACACCAUGCUUUGUUUUUCUCAGUAACAAGAUGUCCACUUAUCUAUCCUUUCACAGCUAAGUGGCCUGCAGCUGUGGGAACCAAGGUCAAGAUUUACUUGUUAUUAUCCUUCUCACAUUGCAUUCCCACAGGGGACCUUAGCAGUUUUGGCUGUUCUCUGAAGAAGUGCUCAAGACAUUCCCAAGUUUGGCAGCUCUGUGACUCCUCUUGGACUUCUGUGGCAUGGAUUUCUAUUAUUGGAUAUUGCCUGCAAUGUCAGAGGCUGCUGUUGCAGAGGAAUCCAGUAAGGGAUCACUGCCAAAUGCCUAUCUUACCUCUAUGAAUGAAUUAAAUAGGCAAGAAGAUUCAGAUCAGAAGACUAUCUUCUUCUUACAAAAAACAAAUGCUACAUUUAGGUUUAUAUAGUGGCCUGACCUCUUAGGAGUCUCCAGAAAUAGAAUUACCUGGGAACAAUAUUGUGUAAUCCUAGAAAUAGCCUCUGCCAAGCAGUCAUCUCAUUACAUACAUGUUAGUAAAUAGAAUCCCUUUCAUUUUGAGUAUAAGAAAAGAAAUGAGAGAAUAAGGUUACUAAUCAAUUUUAAGAUGUUAACAACAAUACAGUUAACUGUGAAUAAAUAAUCAAGAAUCAAGAAUCAAGAAUUUACUGCUAGGUUUUUUUCCCCCACAAUUCCUGCAUGUAGGAAUAUUUAUUGCCAGUCCAUUGUGAAUGUAAACAUCCACUUUUUACAAUAAUAAUAAACACAUAAAAUUAUUCUCAUCUGGCAAGAAGAAUAUCAGCAUUCUUUAUAAUUUCUGCUGAAAUCACUAUUUUGCAUUUUCUUAAUUUUCUCUGAAUACCUACAUUCACAAGUAUCUCAAGAGUGAACUUCUUAGGGACUAAUUUUUGGCCACUAAAUUGCUCAUCUCAGCUUUAUCCAGUGAUUCAGUUAAGCAUUAAUUACAUUACCAAACUGCAAUGAAGAUGUGUCAUAAUCCUGAUACUUGAGAAAUUAUAAAGGAUUAGGGAAGCACAGAAGACCACUGGCAAAAUAAGAAACUAUUAGAAGAUGAUUUGUAUUAGCAGCUUCACAACAGUGCACAGUCCUACCUUUGAAACUUUAUUUGCUUAAUUUUAAAAAUGAGUUUGAAAAGGUACUCAGCAAAGGUAGACAAAUACUAUGUAUCCUAGAGCACCCUCUCUCAGUUCAAAAUCAGGCUGCUUUGAAUAGCUGCUCAGUGACUUGCAUUUUACAAGUACCUGGUUACAGGAAAUGGAUGGAUCUUUUAGUCAUGGUUUAUACAUUAAUUAUCUCUCACCUAAGUACAUCUAUACAAUAAUUGUAUAGAAUUAUGUGCUCUAUUACACUAGAAUGUAAAUUAUAUAGCUAAAGCAGUUAACCAGUGAAACUUCACUGUUGAAUACCCACUCAGUGAGUUCCAUUUGUUCCAGCUCUGUGACAUGAACUAGAGGUUCAAAAGCUUCAUGCUAUAUCAACAAUUGUAAUAAAUUAUAUGUUUCUUACUGCUUUAACAGUUUGUAUUAUACAGUACCCAAGAUAGACUCUGAGAUUAAAACCAUUUCCUGGGAAACUAUAUUCAUCACUGCUCCUAACAAAUGGAGAAGUGGGAGAAGGAAGAAGGGGAUGCAGAAGUGAUGGUGUAGAUGGUGCUGUGUUUCGUCUCCUCAGAACAUUCCCAAGAUGCAGAACAAAUAUGGUCAUCUUCCUCUGCUUUAUGAACUUUAAUGUGCAUCUCUUAGCUCAAUGCUUUACCCACUGAACUAGAGGGUUUUCUAAAAUGGAAUUCUUAAUAGAAUGCACUUUAAACACUCAUUAGUUCAGAGAUUGGAGUCCAGGCUUCCAAGUCUCAGAAGACUUCCUCGUCCAUUAGUCUGCAGAGCUUUGCAAUGACUAUUUAAUUGUUCUGGUCAACAGUAAGAGUAAUUGAGAAAACCUUACCCUGUAUUCUGGCAAUUGCAGAAUCCAUCUAAGAAUGUUUUAAGUUUUCAUCAUACAGGAGAGGUCUACAGUAUAAUCUCUCACAUGCUAGGGGACAGACCUGGCCUGUAAUACGUGAAUUUGUGGAAACAGCAGCACGCUGUUUUGAAAAGGGCAGUGAGAGAAGGAUAGAAACUGUAUAACAAGUUGCAUGAAUGCUUACUGAAGUUGGCUGCAAUAGUGGGACAAGUAGAAGGAAUACUCAGGAUAAUUUUUUUCUAGGCAAAGAUAGAAAUGAGAUUAUGUUUUUUCUGAUCAUUAUAAGAUUCUAGUCCUGGGCAUCCUUAAAACUGGAUGAAUUUGACUAAUAGAUGGGAAAACUUCUCUAUAAUCAAGUACCACAUGUGAUGUGAUCUUACAUCUUUCAACAAGUUCCCUAUAAAGAAAAGAUGCAGGUGAUUUAACUGCCCCCAAAGCACAGGAGUCUGAGAUCCGUUCAACAAAGUCAGCAGAGGGAGGUGCUGAGUCACAUGCAUGUGUGACCAAAGUUUUCUUCAGGUGAAUGACCUGCUCAGCCUAGUGGCUGAGCUGUAGGAGGAAGUUAAAAGGCUGCAAACUAUUACGGAAUGUGAGAGGGAGCUGGAUUGGUGGAACCAGACUCUACCAUCUCUCAAAAAAGUCCCAACAGCCAUGCAGAAGUGAGGACACUGAGGGCUCCCUACCCUCUUGCCAGUUUCCCAAACAGGGUGACCCAGAAGCUGGAGAUCAAUGGAGACAAAUUCCUCCCAGGCAUGACACUCCAGUAGCCACUGAACCCUGCAAGGUGCUUCUUAAGAAUCUGUUGUUCUUGGUGAACCUGUUUUCACCAAAAGCAAUGUUCUGCAAGAGAAACCAACCAACAGCAGCUAUGAGAGCUUGUCUAGUUUAUGUCACUCAGAGAGUCUAGGAGGCAGCAAGCCUGUGGGAGAGUUCUCCCGCAGCAGGGCAUGAGCUGUAAAACAUGAGACCUUGCCAGCCCCCUGGGGUGGAACCACGGGCUGUUGUGAUAAGGAAUAACCUAUCUGUGCCUUACACAUAACUUUGAGCCAAUCUGUACCUUCCACUUGUACCAAUCUCAAACUUAGUUGUGCACGCCUCUUCCAAGUAGCAUAUAAGCCGCUGUAUUGCUUCAAUAAAGCGUACUGAUGCAUAGCAA